GCCUCUGGAGUAAACUGUGUCACAUUCUUUUGGGUAUAUCCCCAAGAGUGGUAUUGCUGGAUCAUAUGGUAGAUCAAUGUUUACCAAAGCUGCUGUUUAUCAUGUAAAAUAAAACUGUAGAUUAUUUAAAUUUAAUUUUCAAUAUUUAUUCUGCAUCAUAUAGUGUGACUAGUUACUUUGAACUGUUUUCUAAAAAAAUCUUUCUUUUUUUCAUAUAGAAUUACGUCAUCUUGACAGCUUCGAAUUCCUUAAAGCCAUUUUAAACUGAGGCACUAAGAAGAAAUACAGACACUAAAAAGAAAUGCACUCACUAUGAGCACAACUUCUGCAUCUGUCUGAUCAUAUUUAAAGGAACAGAAGAAAUGUUUGUAAUUAAUCUGCCCAGUAAAUACCAGCUUGUAGCACUAGGCAGGUGCAAGUCUAGAUAAAAUUUCUUGCAGCUAAUUUAAACUUUCUACACACCCCAGUAGAUAAUCUCAAUGUAAAUAAUACAUUUCUUCUUGACCCUGUAGUACAAACCAACACAUAGAGGAGGAUCCUGACUUAUAUUCUACCAUGUAUGUUUUGGUAUACUUUUAGCAUUUGUGCAUAGAAUUACAAAAGCAUGUAUGACAAUGGC
This is a non-coding RNA of Castor canadensis (American beaver), 619 nucleotides long. Lineage: Eukaryota; Metazoa; Chordata; Mammalia; Rodentia; Castoridae. The record is from RefSeq and is a predicted model, not a curated record.